RNAcentral lists this ribosomal RNA (876 nucleotides) under Triticum aestivum (bread wheat). Its description in RNAcentral is "partial small subunit ribosomal RNA". The record is from RNAcentral. Lineage: Eukaryota; Viridiplantae; Streptophyta; Magnoliopsida; Poales; Poaceae.
AUGUGGAGGUCCGGGGGCGCAGUCCGGUCAGGCAGGACCACCCAGGCAACGCAAGGCGCAACUCAAGGGAUGCACGCACUCCCCCGUCGUCGCCUCCACUCUCCCCCACGUCGGUGCUCCGUUCGCCCCCCUCCCUGCAAGCGUGAUGAGGCCAGGGCUGCUCUAGAAGCCAUCCAGGAAAAGAGCCCGACGCUCAUUGAGCUUUGCUCACCGGCCUCCAUGCUAAGCCCUCUCCUUAGCAUCUCGCCGGUGCGCCCGCCCGGCUUCGAGACUUCUCCAACGCCGCCACUGCUCAGCAGUGGCCCCCUGCAGCGUACCCCGACCUCUCCACGGGCUCGCCGGCAUGCAAAUGAUGAUGGACUGCCGGCGGGUUUCGCCGAACUUCUGGUGCCCAGCCUGGGCUUGGCGCUCCCUGAGCCUUUGUUCUGCGGCCGCCUGCCGGCGCUCAUGCCGUCUGCUCCGGCUCCCCCUGCAUCGCCAUUUUCAACCCCACCCAAGAAGCCGGCGGCACGACGGAAAACACUGGUUGGUGUGAAGAUCUCCAAGACGGGAGGCCUCUCCCUUCAGAGGGUCAGGCGCCCUGCAGUGCUCGCGGCAACGGCUCCAGCAGCAAAGAUGGCAGAGCGGAUGGUUAGCCGCAGCCUGGGCAUCACCAAGGACGGUGAGGACGUCACCACGGCCACCGUGGAUGCCUUUGCGGUUAAGUUCAAAGAGCAACUCUCUCCUGAGGUGAUUGUGGCCAUGAGAGAGUUCUUCGAGCUCGACAACGGUGCUGUUACAGCUGUUGAAGAUGCUCUAAUCGGCCAUGGUGGAGCGGGGGUCCUCGACACUGUUGGUGCUGCCGAUGGUGUUAGCUCGCUGGACGUGGGCAUCUGA